UACGAAGGGGGCUAGCGUUGUUCGGAAUUACUGGGCGUAAAGCGCACGUAGGCGGACUAUUAAGUCAGGGGUGAAAUCCCGGGGCUCAACCCCGGAACUGCCUUUGAUACUGGUAGUCUCGAGUCCGGAAGAGGUGAGUGGAAUUCCGAGUGUAGAGGUGAAAUUCGUAGAUAUUCGGAAGAACACCAGUGGCGAAGGCGGCUCACUGGACUGGUAUUGACGCUGAGGUGCGAAAGCGUGGGGAGCAAACAGG
Molecule: ribosomal RNA, 253 nt
Filed under: uncultured bacterium
Lineage: Bacteria
Description: partial 16S ribosomal RNA
Rfam family: Bacterial small subunit ribosomal RNA
Source: RNAcentral